GUGCCAGCCGCCGCGGUAAUACGGAGGGUGCAAGCGUUGUCCGGAUUUAUUGGGUUUAAAGGGUGCGUAGGCGGCCCGUUAAGUCAGUGGUGAAAGCCUCCAGCUCAACUGGAGAACUGCCAUUGAUACUGGCGGGCUUGAGUACAGACGAGGUUGGCGGAAUUGAUUGUGUAGCGGUGAAAUGCAUAGAUACAAUCAAGAACACCGAUUGCGUAGGCAGCUAACUAGGCUGUAACUGACGCUGAGGCACGAAAGCGUGGGGAGCGAACAGGAUUAGAAACCCGAGUAGUCC
Molecule: ribosomal RNA, 292 nt
Filed under: uncultured bacterium
Lineage: Bacteria
Description: partial 16S ribosomal RNA
Rfam family: Bacterial small subunit ribosomal RNA
Source: RNAcentral